This 398-nucleotide unclassified non-coding RNA is filed under the name Lindera glauca. RNAcentral describes it as "partial miscellaneous RNA". The record is from RNAcentral. Lineage: Eukaryota; Viridiplantae; Streptophyta; Magnoliopsida; Laurales; Lauraceae.
UACUGGCAGGAUCAACCAGGCAACAGUGAAGAACAAGUAUCCUCUUCCCUGGAUCGACGUGCUCUUCGACCAGCUUUAGGGUGCUCAGUACUCCUCGAAGGUGGACUUGAGGUCAGGAUAUCAUCAGCUUCGAAUCAGAGAGCAAGAUGUGCAAAAGACAGCGUUUCGUACCCACUACAGACACUUUGAGUUCCUUGUGAUGCCAUUCAGAUUGACGAAUGCACCAGCAAUGUUCAUGGCUUAGAUGAACAAGAUCUUCUCUCCGCACCUCAAUAGUUUCACAGUGGUCUUCAUCGACAAUGUGUCGGUAUACUCGAAGUCUAGAAAAGAGCAUGAGCAGCAUUUGAGGACAUCUUUACAUUUGUUGCGCGACAACCAGCUGUAUGCAAAGCUCAGCA